This 31-nucleotide non-coding RNA is filed under the name Homo sapiens (human). The record is from RNAcentral. Lineage: Eukaryota; Metazoa; Chordata; Mammalia; Primates; Hominidae.
UGGCCUUGAAGACCCAGUUCAUGUGGUUCUA